UACGUAGGGGGCUAGCGUUGUCCGGAAUCAUUGGGCGUAAAGCGCGUGUAGGCGGUCCGGUAAGUCCGCUGUGAAAGUCGGGGGGCUCAACCCUCGAAUGCCGGUGGAUACUGUCGGGCUAGAGUGCGGAAGAGGCGAGUGGAAUUCCUGGUGUAGCGGUGAAAUGCGCAGAUAUCAGGAGGAACACCGGUGGCGAAGGCGGCUACCUGGACAGAAACUGACGCUGGAGGCGCGAAAGCCUAGGGGAGCAAAACAGG
RNAcentral lists this ribosomal RNA (257 nucleotides) under uncultured bacterium. RNAcentral describes it as "partial 16S ribosomal RNA". It matches the Rfam family "Bacterial small subunit ribosomal RNA", at positions 524 to 776 of the family's 1533-position model. The record is from RNAcentral.